UUAGCAGUCAUUUAACUGAGCGCCU
RNAcentral lists this microRNA (25 nucleotides) under Canis lupus familiaris (dog). Its description in RNAcentral is "cfa-miR-8814". Lineage: Eukaryota; Metazoa; Chordata; Mammalia; Carnivora; Canidae. The record is from miRBase by way of RNAcentral.